UCCGUCCUCUCUGAUUGACAGCCUGAACCAUCAGCCUUCCAGUACAGCUUAUUCUGCCCUGUUACAAACAUUGAGGUGAAAAAACCAAAUUAUUUUAUUAAAAAUAAACAAUUUUAACAGAAUAGAUUUUCCCCAAAACACUAAACAAACGUAUUAAUAAAUGCCCAGAGCCUGAAGUUCACUUGUUGGUGCCAACUUUUACGGAUGCCCUGCUUUCAAAAUCUUUUCUUCCACAAGAAGGGAGUUCCCAUCAGAAUUAGUUAACAUCCCAACUGCCAUCAAUACUUUCCCUAUUUUUACAGCUAGCAAUCCAACUGUGAACACACUGAAGCAAUUCUGUGGUUACAAAAAAUCAUCAAUAAAAACUUAUGAGGUCUACUUUAUUGUAUCCUACAAGGUUGCCCUUUAAAAAGGGGGAAAAUUCUGCACUAUCUGGAACACAGCUAGUACAGAUAGCAGUGAGAUACCUAUUGCCUUUAGAAUAAAGUAGUUAGACAUAUUGCCAUUUUCCUUUAUGCUGUUAAAUGGUCCAGCUGCUGACUCUGCUCUCGCUGAUGGACCAUUUAGUAAUGCUGCUGACUGUUCUUAACAUCAGCAUAACAUUCACAUUGAUUCUUAGUUAUCCAGUAGUAAAAUUAUCCAGCUGCUCCUCCGCCGGCUAUAAGUCACACCCAAAAUAUACCUAACAAACUUUAUAUGCAGAGCUUGUGGCAGCUCAGUCAUUGUUUUGUUUGCACCACUGAUGUCUUCACAUUCAGAAAAGAAGUUGUAUUGCAUAAAAUCAGAAAGCAGGGGGGGAAAAAGCAGUCACCUUGAAAUACAGUUAUUACUGAUAGAUAACAUGUAUACGUGCUGCUUUACAAAAUGUUACCACACAAGGCAUUUGAUUUCCAGUACUCAUGAAGCAAAAUCGCUGAGAGAAAGGUUGGUACCAGUAAAAAAUACGUAUUUCUGGACAACUGUCUGCACAUUUCACAGCACAGUGAGAAAUCUGGGUUUUGGAGCGUCCGUUCAGCUUCGCUAAACAGAGAAGCCGAUUCUCCAGCGGUGUCUAUCAUCUUCAACAAGACCCCUAAGCACUAAGUGUCUGUUUAUCCAAGUUAACAGAAAUUGCUGAAAUUUCCCAUAGACCUCACAUAAAUAUAUUUGUUUGGUCCAGUGGAUAAACAUGAAUGUUCCCAACUGCCAAACAAGAGACUGCUCAUGUUCCAGCAGAUACCGGCAUCUGGCCAGGAUAAGGAUCGGACUAUCACUAAGGCAAUAAAUUAGGCGAUAACGGGGAAUAGGGAGCUGCUGGGGCAAGUUCCUUCCUCUGGAACUAGCCUGGAGAAAUACCUUCCUUUGUAAAGGAGGCGAAUAGAGAACUUGUGUCUGGGGCCAUAAUUCUGCCAUUAGAUGCUCCUCUGACUGGUGGGAAAAACUGGGAGCACCAGGAAGAAGCUCCUCUCAUGGCUGGGCAGUCCUCACUUCAUCAGCCAGACAAGAAGGGAGGGGAAGUUCUCCCUCUGCUCUGCCUUACCUUAAUGUCUGUAGAAAAGAGUUGAGGGGAAAGUAAGUCUAAAACCACCCAUCUUAUCUGCUUUGACUUUCUCCAUUUUCUUUCUAUGCCUGACAAGCUGCAACAGUGAGUACAAGGACUACAGUAUAUUUUGACAUCCCCUGGAGGGAGCCUCAAAGUCUUGACACAACCAGUCCCACUGAUGUCCUGGGGAGGCAGCUCCACCAACCCAAACAAAGGACUUUGUGGGUUAAUUCCCAGCUGAGGAUCAGAAGGAUCCGCGGGACGCACUAAUGGCUGGAAGCAAAUCAGGAGCAGAUUAGCCUAUGCACAUACCAUACACAGGGAAGUUAAGAAGGCUGUGCUGACCAAAAGCCAGGACAGGAAGCUCUAGGCAGAAUAGAAGAGCUACCCCAUCUGGCUUCUUUUGAGUUUACUGCUUGUAUAAGUGCAUGGAUGGAAUGCAGCUACAGACUUACAAAACUGGUGUCAAUCUGGGUUUAACCAGAACCCUGCAACAAAACCCUAUCAGGAGAGGGUGAUUUGUGUUCAAACCUGAACCUCUGGUGAACUCUCUUUCUCUCUCAUUGUUUCUCUCUAGGUCCUGCCAUACAGCCUGUAUUUCCAUUAAAAGAACUUUCCCACUUAGAAGAAAAUAUAUGUCUUCACAGUGUUAUAAUUGCCUAUGAGAUGAAGGGAAAAGGGCUACGUCCACUUACUAUACAUGGGCUGAUGUGUUAGAACAAUAAAUGAAUAUGGAUUUCUUUUUUUGCAGUACAGUACGUAUAGAGUGAAUUUUUUCUUCCCCUAGUCAUGAAACCAAUGGGAUUAUUAGCAUAAGGCAAGCAAGGUUGUCCAGAGUGUUAUUUCUGUAGUGAGAACUCAGUGAUUUAGUGAGAAAAAUGUGUUCGGAAGUUUUCCAGCAACAGUCAAGCAACAAAGCAGAGCAAGAUUCCAGUUAGAUUACAAUCUUCCAGGUUCUUCAUACUUGCCAACUCUUCAAAGCCAAUAAUUCAUUCAUUUGGGGGAGUAAAUUAAGGACACUUUUAAAUUUCACUGAAACACAAUAGACUAGGAGAAAUGAGUGGAAAUUUCCUUUAAAAAAUAGUUACCAUGUCUGGUUCUUGUAUUGACAGGCAUUACAUGUCACUAUAAAUGAUUUCAUUUCCUCAAUAGCUGGUUAUACUAGUUUCCCAUUUUGUCUGUCAGCAUGCUUGCAGAAAAUCUAUGGUGUUAACAGCUUUGGUAAUGUUUUCUCAUUUGCUGACAGAGCUUUUACUGGAGACAAAAGAUAUUUGAUCAUUUAUAAACACAUGCUAAUGGUUCUGAACAACGACAUAGCUGCAAAAAUGAGUUUUAACUUGCAUGCUUCACAUGUUUCAUAAUGUUACUUGACAUUAGUUGGGCUUGCAUUAAGUGGUAAUUAUUUUGUAACACACUUCUCUCAUCAGAGAAUAGGAAACAUGCCAAGAAUUAUUAAGCAGAGACACAUAUUAACUGUACCUGUUGUCCAAACUUGAUACACUGAUUGCUUAAUACUCACUUCCACCAGGUAGUAAAAAAGUUCCCAAAAAAGUUCCCUUAUGGCUUUGUAUUCUGAGUGAAUUUUUAAUGUAAGCCUUGUCUGUUGUGGGUUGUUAAGUAAUGGUACCAUCACUAUUUCUACUGGAAACAAAGGCCACCCAUAUGGUAAAAUAUUUUCCUUGUAUGAUACCUUGUAAUAAAAGGUACUACUAUCCCAUGUAGUCAUUGACCUCACAUUUAGAUACUGUAUAUUUUUAAUAGAUUUUUCAAAAACUGUAAGUGAUUGUAUUUAAAAAACCAGUAGUGAUUUUCGACCCUGUACCACAGAUUCAGCUAUUUUUAAAUCAUUGUGAAUGACAUCCACCCCUGUGCAGAGAGGCCAGUACAAGGUCUGUGCACCACUCAAGUCUCACUUAACCCCUAUUUUGAAGUGAAUUUCUCUCUGUACGGAAUUAUCAUAAUCAUAAAGACAAAUAUCCCUCAAAAAGCACAUUUCCUCUCUCACACACAUUGAUUCCCACUUUAACCAGAAAACAACUAUCAUGAGAGUUAUAACCAAAGGAAAUACAUUUUUUAGAAACAUAUCUAAAGACAGAAUUUGCACAUCAGUAUUCAACUUACAUGGCAUGUUCAGAAAAAAGAAAAAUCAAACCAAUAAUCCUACUUACAAAGAUCCCUUAUAAUGAAUGCUAGAUUUUAGACAUACCACAGUUCCUCCCAAAUCUAUUCUUUCACAGACUAUUUGGGGAAAAGGUGAUUCAAGUUGAGUAAAUAAUUUCCAGGCUUUCAUUUGCCAGUGUCAACAUUUCCAGCAUCCGGACAUGGCAGUAUAGGAGCUGUCUCAACCAUUUCAGAAUUGCCACCUUGGCAUACUUAAGCAGAUAAGGGAAAGGACAUGUUCUGGUAAUUCCAGAGAAGGCCAGUUGACAAGUUACCCAACAGCAGUGGAAAUGAUUCCACCCCUAGCAACUGAGCAAAUCACACAUGAAGUAUCUCCAAGCAAACUGAAUAAAGGUCAUAGCCCCAGCAAUCAGGAUGACGGACCACUUUCAAUUUAUAUAUUUUUAAUAUAAUGGAGAAAUGGAGCAUAAUAUCCCUAUCACAACAUACAUCAAACAGUACACUAAUUUCGAAUCCAGUGUUUUUAGGGAACAGUCAAUUGAAUGCUCUCCAAAUAUAGGGAUUGACCAUAGUUCACUAUGGUCCACCCAAACUGAUUCAUAAGCCUUGGGCAGAAAGCACACUUCUCCAUCAGAUCACACACCCAACUACAGUGACCUAACGUAGUUGGAAACUUUUCUGUCCUGACUUGUCUUCCCAUCUUAAUCAGCACCCAUCAAAGUCAAUAAGAAUUGGAUCAGGCCUGAAGUUAGUCCUGGCUCCUUAAUGGACUAGCCAAUACCACAUUGAGCUUUGUACAUUUUAGUUUAGGAAACUGAAUUUUUUAAA
Molecule: non-coding RNA, 4471 nt
Organism: Caretta caretta (loggerhead turtle)
Lineage: Eukaryota; Metazoa; Chordata; Testudines; Cheloniidae
Source: RefSeq, a predicted model, not a curated record